GAAAAGAGUGCACCAACUCCUGUGGGUGAACUAGGGAUGGUUGAAAUGUCACAAGCCUUGGAUUUAAUUGAUGUUUGCUAUGAACAGGUUGGACCAGAUAUGCUAAUUAGUGGAUUUCUUCAGCCUAUCCCGGAACUGACUCCAGUUAUCCCAUCAGAGGAUGAGACUUUUGCAAUUGAUCCUACUGUCACUCCUUAUGAAUCAAGCAUCAUAUUCUUCUAUAAGACUUGGGAUCCUUAUGGGGCUUUUUCAAAUUUUUCUCCUCAUCCAAUUCAAAUGUUUGAUAGCAAUGGUGAUUAUGCCACAUGGUCAAGUGUAGAGCAUUAUUACCAGGCACACAAGUUUUUGGGGGUGAAUGAUCCUGUAGCAAAAGAUUGCAUUGAGAAGAUUAAGUCAGCAAAAAGUCCAGAGGAAGCAGCACGAAUGGGAAGGUCAAUGCAGAGGCAGUG
Molecule: unclassified non-coding RNA, 449 nt
Filed under: Hevea brasiliensis (rubber tree)
Lineage: Eukaryota; Viridiplantae; Streptophyta; Magnoliopsida; Malpighiales; Euphorbiaceae
Source: RNAcentral